UACGAAGGGGGCUAGCGUUGCUCGGAAUCACUGGGCGUAAAGCGCACGUAGGCGGCUUUUUAAGUCAGGGGUGAAAUCCUGGAGCUCAACUCCAGAACUGCCUUUGAUACUGAGAGGCUUGAGUCCGGGAGAGGUGAGUGGAACUGCGAGUGUAGAGGUGAAAUUCGUAGAUAUUCGCAAGAACACCAGUGGCGAAGGCGGCUCACUGGCCCGGUACUGACGCUGAGGUGCGAAAGCGUGGGGAGCAAACAGGG
Molecule: ribosomal RNA, 254 nt
Filed under: uncultured bacterium
Lineage: Bacteria
Description: partial 16S ribosomal RNA
Rfam family: Bacterial small subunit ribosomal RNA
Source: RNAcentral